Molecule: ribosomal RNA, 408 nt
Filed under: uncultured bacterium
Lineage: Bacteria
Description: partial 16S ribosomal RNA
Rfam family: Bacterial small subunit ribosomal RNA
Source: RNAcentral
GACGAACGCUGGCGGCGUGCUUAACACAUGCAAGUCGAACGCAGUGGCGAACGGGUGAGUAACGCGUAAUCAACCUGCCCUUCAGCGGGGGACAACAGUUGGAAACGACUGCUAAUACCGCAUACUGAAGGAGGGGAUUGCGUCUGAUUAGCUAGUUGGAGGGGUAACGCCCCACAAAGGCGAUGAUCAGUAGCCGGUCUGAGAGGAUGAAAGGCCACAUUGGGACUGAGACACGGCCCAGACUCCUACGGGAGGCAGCAGUGGGGAAGCUUCCGCAAUGGACGAAAGUCUGACGAAGCAACGACGCGUGAGUGAUGACGGCCUUCGGGUUGUAAAGCUCUGUUAAUCGGGACGCGGUACCGGAAUAGAAAGCCACGGCUAACUACGUGCCAGCAGCCGCGGUAAUUC